Molecule: long non-coding RNA, 389 nt
Filed under: Athene cunicularia (burrowing owl)
Lineage: Eukaryota; Metazoa; Chordata; Aves; Strigiformes; Strigidae
Description: lncRNA (ENSACUG00000010919.1)
Source: RNAcentral
GCUAAGUAAAUGUCUUCUUUAUUUUUUUUUUUUUUUUCCCAUCCUAAAGGUGUCUGGCAGCAGGUGAGGAGGGGCUGGGACUAGAGAGGGAGCACGGCUUAACACCGAGGCCAUCCUAGACAGUGCUGCUGCCUGCUGGAGCCUGGACCCGGUCAAGCAACGCCCUCGCCGAGGAGAAUGCAGCCUUCCCCUCCGGCCGAUUUAUGAUGAGAUCCCGCACCCGGUAAGCAGCCUGCUGCCGUCGAGUGGCACGGGACAAGCCCGAGCCCUUGAGGAUCCACCCAGGAUGAGCGGGAAUGGCCUCUCCAGCCUUUGGGAUUUGCCACGCCGAGGAGCUCAGCACGUCCGGAGCUCCUGAGGAGCCCAAGUAGGACAGAGGAGUCCUCAGG